UUUAGUUGUUCUUUCUUAUACUUUUGCCAAGUGGAUCAAUGAUCUCAACCAGCAAAUAAGCUAGACAAUGCAAUCACUUGAAUAACUAUUAGUUUUGUUUCUCAUAAUACCAGCCAGUCAAUAUUUACAAUUACAUGUUGGGACUGCUUAUUUGUCUACAGUUUUACAAGCUUACUCCCCGUCUGCAUCAAAAAACCCUGCAUCUUUCAUCUCUGAGUAAUAUGCGCUGUCCAGAAGCCAAUCUUCCUCCUUGAAAAAAUCAGCCAGGAACGUCACGUAAAGAAAUGGAAGAUAAAGCGAGUGAUAACAAACUACAGUCAAAUUAUACAACCAAAGUCCAAAGCCACCCCUAAUGCCUGCAAGCCCACAGGCAAAUAACAUUACAGCACUUGUCACAAACAUGACGAUGACGUAAUUGUAAAAGGCUGGACGUGGAGGCAGCUUAUCUCUCCACUUUGAGAAAUGCACAAACAAUAUGUAGCCAUAAGCUGCAGUAAGAAGAAGCUUGUUGGUGCUCCAGACACGCCACUUCCCCCUAUCAGCUAUUUCCAUGUCAAGGAAAAGUGGAAUACCAAGUCCAAAUAUAUAAAUUGCCUUUAAUAGUAAAUCCACGCCAACAAAAAGGCCUGAAACCAUGAAAGUACGUGAUAAAGUUUCCAAACAGCUCGCAUAAUUCUCCUUAAGUAAGAAUGCCACUAUGCUAAUCUCCAGAAAUAGCAUUGCAGACGUUGCAAACAACGAUAAAAGAUUCCAAGCCACCUGCUUCCCUGGAGUGCACUGCCAUGCCUGAAGAAAGCACCAACAAAGGUUUAAAAGAACAGCAAACCACAAAAGUCCAUAGUAUCCAAUCAUUACAAAAGACCGACGAUGACUGAGCUUCUUAAUGUUGCUCCUAGCAUGAAACCCUAAGUACAGUACGAACAAAACCGAUGGUAAUACCAGUAUCACAUCGUGCCAGAACCCAUGGCACGCAGUUGCUGAGCUGGACAACCGGAAUAUGAAGUCAUCUCUACCGGCAGUUCCGGUUCCGGUUCGGGCCGGACCUGCUUCGGUGGGAGAUGAAGCUUCAGUAAUGGAAAAUGCUCCACUAAAAUUUGUCAUUCUUCGCAGAAUAGAAAAUCAAAGGCAUUGAAAACUUGUGGAUGAGAUCAUCGGAACCCUAGGUCCGACGUGAAAUGGAAGCAAUCGGAGGAGGGUAGAUCGAACUUCGAAGGAGAAGUUGCGUUGGUCGAUGG
Molecule: unclassified non-coding RNA, 1235 nt
Filed under: Hevea brasiliensis (rubber tree)
Lineage: Eukaryota; Viridiplantae; Streptophyta; Magnoliopsida; Malpighiales; Euphorbiaceae
Source: RNAcentral